This 164-nucleotide ribosomal RNA is filed under the name uncultured bacterium. RNAcentral's name for it is "partial 16S ribosomal RNA". It matches the Rfam family "Bacterial small subunit ribosomal RNA", at positions 1339 to 1500 of the family's 1533-position model. The record is from RNAcentral.
UAAUCGCGGAUCAGAAUGCCGCGGUGAAUACGUUCCCGGGUCUUGUACACACCGCCCGUCACACCAUGGGAGUCGGAAAUGCCCGAAGUCUGUGACCCAACCUGAGAGGGAGGGAGCAGCCGAAGGCAGGUCUGAUGACUGGGGUGAAGUCGUAACAAGGUACC